AGGACCACGGACUUCCGUUUCGUUCCGCCUGUAAGUCCCGCCUGGUCCCGCCUCCUCCUGAAAAGAGCUCAGUUGUCAAGGAACUAUUUUUCUUGCCGUCGUCCCAGAGAUGCCUUUGGAAAAGCGGAAGGGCACGGAGGGUUCUGGAGUUCGUUGCUGGCACCUGCGUGGUGUCAUGAGAACGUGGCGGGGCGGGCAGCAGCACAUAAAUCAUACAUCAGUCAUCCAGUGAUACAAAGAGGUGGCCAAUUGUGUCUGAAGUAGUCACUUGUAAAGGAUCACAACCCAGGCAGUGUUGCUUUUCUGCAAACAGAAGGAAACAGAAGGCUCCAUGGUCCUUGAAGAUUAUCCAAGUUUUCCACUAGUUGUCAAGAUUUCUGUCCCAACCUCUUAGUCACCAUUUACAGCAAGAAGAGCCAGCAAGUGAAAAACUGUUAAUUUAUUGAUUCAAAGUUGUUUUUUUUCUUUUUAAAAAACAAUCCCCAAUACAUGCAGUUCAGGGUUAAGUAUCACAUUUGUAGCACAUUGUUGAGUCUCAAAACAAAAAUAUGCAUCACCUGUAUAAUCCCAUCACAUCUUUUUCCAGCCUCUACAAUACCUAGUUGGGGGUGUUUUCAUUUAUACAUCCACAUAGCUCAGAAGCAUGUUAUUAACGGUUGAUCUGGCCCGAUGCUUCUCCGCCACCUCCCCUGCCCUGGUCUCCACCUCGGGGUUAUUUUUUUCUAAAGGCAGGAUGUUACUCAGUCUUAAUUUAUUAAGAUCACUGACAAACUUUGGCUUCUUGUGUGCUCAUGUGGUCCCUGCUUUUGCUUUCGGAAGGGUUUAUAUUGAAACGACUGUGACUCUGAUCGGUUAUUAUCCCCUCAUUUUUUGUAGGAAAUAAGUUUGCUUGUUUCUGUGGGUGCUCACACAGUAACACAGGUUCCUAAAGUAACCAUUUAAUCUGAACUGGUAUUAAAGGAAACUGUUAACCAGGCUCUCUUAGAUCUAUUUCAGUUCAUAUAAAAAAACUCUUCCAAUUGUUGCUUGUGUCUCAAAGUAGUUCUGCUUCCAUCCUUAUCAACAGAGCACCUGGGAGAACCUAAGUCAUUUCCCUGAGUAGGCACAGACCACGAGCCCCGCGGCACCCAGCUCUCUCUGGGACUAAGCGCCUGACUCGAGAGCACCACCUUUCAGUCCACUGGGACCAAUCCAGUGGGCAGCGCCCUCCCCAGGGUACAUUCCAGAACAUAAACUUGGUACCCUCUAAUUUAUCCCCUCAAGAAGUUAAUUUCCUCCUCAAGAGCUACCUUUAGAUGGAUUUUCUUAUUGGUCCCUUUUCUUUUAACAGCCCUUCCCCUAGCCACUCUCUUCAAGUCCCCAAGGAUUACGAGUUUGUCUGUCUCCUCUAAUCUAUCAGUCUGAGAGCACCUUCCUCUCUGCAAGGGAACACAUUUGCUUUAAACCUUGUGAGUGCUGACAUGUUACAGAAUGUCUGGGAGGAGGCCUGGCUGAGUGACUGGUGUUUAAGUGCCUCAAUGAACGACAUCAGCGCUUCUCUAGUUGGUGAGAAGGCCCAGGAAAGCUUGGUCUGCGUCAUACACUCAAUAGCUUCUCCUACCCAGCCACCUACCCUGCCUACAGGGAUAGGAUGAAAGCAAGGCCAGCUGACAGCAUCCAGGGGAGAGUGAACUGCCACCACACCAGAGGUGCAAAUGUGACUCAGCACUUCAUGAGUUCUACUCUCACCAUGGGAUUUCUCAGCAGAAGCAAACCUUGCAGUCAGGCUCACUUGUAGCCAACAAAUGAUAUAGCCAUCUGGAUUUGGCAUAGGAACCUUUUGUUCUCACCAUACCAGGUCUAUGUUCUUGAACAUAGGCAGUACCUGAGAUGAUAGUAUAACACUACCCUGUUCCCCACAUUUUUUGCUUUUCUUUAGGAAAUAAUUAAGUCCUUAUCAUAGGCACUUUUAACCUGUUUAAGAUAAUGAAGCAAACAAAUGAAAAGUACUGAGAUGAGUUUAAGAAAGAAUAUGCUAACUGAAAAGGAUACUGGGUGCGUACAUUUACCAUGGUUUAGUCUAAAUAUUAGACACACAGACACACACACAGACACACACACAGACACACACACAGACACACACACAGACACACACACACCCCUUUUGGAACUCUCCAAGACCAUCUCCGAAUCUAGGUAAAUAGUCUUAAAAUUUCGGGGGAGCUAGGUUUGGAAACAAAAAUGGUUUUUGGAGACAGGAAAAGAGAUGGUCUGAAACUGGACUCACUUCAGUUUGGAAAGGAAUAGCCUAGGUGCCAAGACCAGACCCAGGAAGGGGUGAGCAUUUCAAGCCCAGUUAUGGUCUAAGUCUAAGGCAUGAAGAGAGGUAAAAGUCUAGGUGCUGGAAAAGCAAGCUGUGUGCUUCAAAGGAAGAAUGCCUGUGUCAAAGCUGCAGUUACAAAACCCCAGGACAAGGCAGGCAGGCGGUGUCUGCACCUACAUCACCGUCAGAGAGACAGGCAGAGGUCAAUCACCUGACUAUUCUCCUCCAGGUACUUUUAUUACCUUUGGGGGACCCAAGGGAAAGGAAUGGAGUUACCGCUUCACCAAGACCCUCCAGUAGGCACCUCUUGCCUGGUCCAGACAGGCAACUUAAAAAAAAAAAGGGAGGGCUGAGGAGUGGGGUGGGGUGAUAAAGGAGAUUGGAGGGGGAGCAGGAAAGACACGCAGUGGCACAUCUCCCUGAUGAUAACCAAUGCUUCAGGAUUGCCUAUAAGGGCAUAUUAGAAGGCUUUUGAUAAUCUCAAACACUGAGUUUUGCUGCCUGACAUAUCAAUACAGGUUUAGCCAAAGAGCUCACAUCUUGCUUUUGAUUUUCAGGUAGAACAAAUGUUUACAUUAGUAUACAGAAUGUGCAAUGCAAGCAGGCAGCAUUGGUAUGAGAACCUUAACUGAAUGCAUUCCUUGGCUUUGGGAUCUUAUUUAUUUUUUACUCUAUAAACUCAACUCUAUAAUAAGAGAAGAGUUUCAUUUGUAUUUUAAGUUCCCACAGACCAAACGACAAAAAUAGAAUCUACAUUUAGAGUAGGAUCUGCUACCAAUACCAAUAAGAUUUUAUUGGAAUAUGGAAUGUAAACAAAUGUUUCAAACAAACAUCUAACCUUAUAAAAAUGUAUGGCAUUAUUAAAUAGUUAAUAAAGAAAUCUUAAAGGGUGAUGUGGUAGACACCUCUAGUUCUAGCCUAGGUGUGUGAAGUCCCCACAGCUGUGGCAUGGCCCUGCAGCUGGGGUGAGGGGACUGCCUACAAACCAUGUUGCUCCUGAGUCCCCAAAAUGAAAUCAGCCCUAUUUUUGUUUAAACAAACUCUAGCUUUCUCUGCUAACAUGAAGGUUUGCAAAAUGGAUCCAACACUUGCUCCGGGAGCACCAUUUUCUUCCCCAAGCCCCUUGUAUAUUCCUCUGAGUUGCUUGAGUUUCAGAUGACCCUGCCCACACAACUCUAGUACCUGCAUGCAAGACAGACUUAUCUUUGCCAUCACAUAAAUGUAUCACAUAUCAGAACUUACAAAUGCAUAUUACCCUGAUUACAGUGGGAAACUGUGUCUCAUGGGGAUAAAAGGAGGUGGGAGAGAGAUAUUUUUUUCCAUAAGUCUUUCCUGAAAAAAUUCUAAUGGGAUGUUUUCCUCCCUCGCCUUGCCUGAAGACUGACUUUCCAGCUUUAGUUAUGGUUGUGAACAAAAAGGUCUCUGUUUCAGAGAGGUGCAUUAAAAUAGGCGCACACAUAGGGAUGUGCUGGGAAAUGGUGAAGUUCUCCUUACAAGGCUGCCAAAAAAAAAAAAAAAAAAAAAAAAGAAAAAGCAACAAAAAA
RNAcentral lists this long non-coding RNA (3846 nucleotides) under Homo sapiens (human). RNAcentral's name for it is "HSALNT0386379". The record is from RNAcentral. Lineage: Eukaryota; Metazoa; Chordata; Mammalia; Primates; Hominidae.